GAUGAGAACGCAGCGAAAUGCGAUAACUAAUGUGAAUUGCAGAAUUCAGUGAAUCAUCGAGUCUUUGAACGCACAUUGCGCCCCCUGGUAUUCCGGGGGGCAUGCCUGUCCGAGCGUCAUUGCUGCCCUCAAGCACGGCUUGUGUGUUGGGCCCCCGUCCCCGGUUUCCCCCGGGGACGGGCCCGAAAGGCAGCGGCGGCACCGCGUCCGGUCCUCGAGCGUAUGGGGCUUUGUCACCCGCUCUGUAGGCCCGGCCGGCGCCAGCCGACACCCAACUUUAUUUCUAAGGUUGACCUCGGAUCAGGUAGGGAUACCCGCUGAACUUAAGCAUAUCAAUAAGCGGAGGA
This 347-nucleotide unclassified non-coding RNA is filed under the name soil metagenome. RNAcentral's name for it is "partial contains 5.8S ribosomal RNA, internal transcribed spacer 2, and large subunit ribosomal RNA". The stretch from base 5 to 119 matches the Rfam family "5.8S ribosomal RNA", at positions 40 to 154 of the family's 154-position model. The record is from RNAcentral.